ACAUAAUUGGAGUUCCACUCCUACGGCUGCUAUCAUUUCUUGACUGCAUACGAUGAGGCAUUCUUAAACUACCACUGCUGUUCAAUGAAGAAGCCAUUGAAUUUGAAGGCAACGAAGGGAGUUUUUGGCCACCAUGAGAGAGACACGAUGCAAUGGAAGAGUAGUAACAAUGUCAACAGGUGAAAUGCUUGGUGAACCAAAUGUGGGGUGUUUUCUAACAGACCCUUUUAUUAGUACCAACUCUAAUUAUAGGGAACCAUAUAUUUUGUUUCUCCUUUUGACUUCAACCUCUUUUAUCAUUGAUAAUGAUCAAAGAUCUAACCUCUUCUUCAAAAUUAUUUUUAUGUUGUUUCGAUUUUAUUUCUUAAUUUUGACUGUAUAUUCAUCGAUGUAUAAUUAAUUAAUUACGUUACUACACAUUAUUACUA
Non-coding RNA from Cicer arietinum (chickpea), 428 nucleotides. Lineage: Eukaryota; Viridiplantae; Streptophyta; Magnoliopsida; Fabales; Fabaceae. The record is from RefSeq and is a predicted model, not a curated record.